Molecule: ribosomal RNA, 1015 nt
Filed under: Chaetosphaeria vermicularioides
Lineage: Eukaryota; Fungi; Ascomycota; Sordariomycetes; Chaetosphaeriales; Chaetosphaeriaceae
Description: LSU rRNA
Rfam family: Eukaryotic large subunit ribosomal RNA
Source: RNAcentral
AGUAACGGCGAGUGAAGCGGCAACAGCUCAAAUUUGAAAUCUGGCCUUUGGUCCGAGUUGUAAUUUGCAGAGGAUGCUUCGGGCGCGGUGCCUUCCAAGUCCCCUGGAACGGGGCGCCGGAGAGGGUGAGAGCCCCGUACGGUUGGCGGCCAAGCCUGUGUGAAGCUCCUUCGACGAGUCGAGUAGUUUGGGAAUGCUGCUCUAAGCGGGAGGUAGACCCCUUCUAAAGCUAAAUACCGGCCAGAGACCGAUAGCGCACAAGUAGAGUGAUCGAAAGAUGAAAAGCACUUUGAAAAGAGGGUUAAACAGCACGUGAAAUUGUUGAAAGGGAAGCGCUUGUGACCAGACGUGCGCCGGGGUGUUCAGCGGGCGUUCUCGCCCGUGCACUCGCCUCGGUGCAGGCCAGCGUCGGUUUGGGUGGGGGGAUAAAGGCGGCUGGAAUGUGGCUCCUCCGGGAGUGUUAUAGCCAGUCGUGCCAUGCCUCCGCCUGGACCGAGGUACGCGUUCUGCAAGGACGCUGGCGUAAUGGUCUCCAGCGACCCGUCUUGAAACACGGACCAAGGAGUCGAGGUUUUGCGCGAGUGUUUGGGUGGAAAACCCGCACGCGUAAUGAAAGUGAACGUAGGUGAGAGCUUCGGCGCAUCACCGACCGAUCCUGAUGUUUUCGGAUGGAUUUGAGUAAGAGCGUAGGGCCUCGGACCCGAAAGAUGGUGAACUAUGCUUGGAUAGGGUGAAGCCAGAGGAAACUCUGGUGGAGGCUCGCAGCGGUUCUGACGUGCAAAUCGAUCGUCAAAUCUGAGCAUGGGGGCGAAAGACUAAUCGAACCAUCUAGUAGCUGGUUACCGCCGAAGUUUCCCUCAGGAUAGCAGUGUUGUUCUUCAGUUUUAUGAGGUAAAGCGAAUGAUUAGGGACUCGGGGGCGCUAUUUAGCCUUCAUCCAUUCUCAAACUUUAAAUAUGUAAGAAGCCCUUGUUGCUUAAUUGAACGUGGGCAUUCGAAUGUAUCAACACUAGUGG